UACGGAGGGAGCUAGCGUUGUUCGGAAUUACUGGGCGUAAAGCGCGCGUAGGCGGCUUUGUAAGUUAGAGGUGAAAGCCCGGAGCUCAACUCCGGAACUGCCUUUAAAACUGCAUCGCUUGAAUCCAGGAGAGGUGAGUGGAAUUCCGAGUGUAGAGGUGAAAUUCGUAGAUAUUCGGAGGAACACCAGUGGCGAAGGCGGCUCACUGGUCCGGUACUGACGCUGAGGUGCGAAAGCGUGGGGAGCAAACAGG
This 253-nucleotide ribosomal RNA is filed under the name uncultured bacterium. RNAcentral describes it as "partial 16S ribosomal RNA". It matches the Rfam family "Bacterial small subunit ribosomal RNA", at positions 524 to 776 of the family's 1533-position model. The record is from RNAcentral.